UGGCGUAAUGAUGGCCAGGCUGUCUCCACCCGAGACUCAGUGAAAUUGAACUCGCUGUGAAGAUGCAGUGUACCCGCGGCAAGACGGAAAGACCCCGUGAACCUUUACUAUAGCUUGACACUGAACAUUGAGCCUUGAUGUGUAGGAUAGGUGGGAGGCUUUGAAGUGUGGACGCCAGUCUGCAUGGAGCCGACCUUGAAAUACCACCCUUUAAUGUUUGAUGUUCUAACGUUGACCCGUAAUCCGGGUUGCGGACAGUGUCUGGUGGGUAGUUUGACUGGGGCGGUCUCCUCCUAAAGAGUAACGGAGGAGCACGAAGGUUGGCUAAUCCUGGUCGGACAUCAGGAGGUUAGUGCAAUGGCAUAAGCCAGCUUGACUGCGAGCGUGACGGCGCGAGCAGGUGCGAAAGCAGGUCAUAGUGAUCCGGUGGUUCUGAAUGGAAGGGCCAUCGCUCAACGGAUAAAAGGUACUCCGGGGAUAACAGGCUGAUACCGCCCAAGAGUUCAUAUCGACGGCGGUG
Molecule: ribosomal RNA, 520 nt
Filed under: Escherichia coli
Lineage: Bacteria; Pseudomonadati; Pseudomonadota; Gammaproteobacteria; Enterobacterales; Enterobacteriaceae
Description: partial 23S ribosomal RNA
Rfam family: Bacterial large subunit ribosomal RNA
Source: RNAcentral